AUGAGACUGCCGGUGACAAACCGGAGGAAGGUGGGGACGACGUCAAGUCAUCAUGGCCCUUACUGUCCUGGGCGUACACACGUGCUACAAUGGCCGGUACAGAGUGAAGCGAAACCGCGAGGUGAAGCAAAACGCAGAAAGCCGGUCUCAGUACGGAUUGGAGUCUGAAACUCGACUUCAUGAAGUUGGAAUCGCUAGUAAUCGCGCAUCAGCAUGGCGCGGUGAAUACGUUCCCGGGCCUU
This 242-nucleotide ribosomal RNA is filed under the name uncultured Spirochaeta sp. RNAcentral describes it as "partial 16S ribosomal RNA". It matches the Rfam family "Bacterial small subunit ribosomal RNA", at positions 1143 to 1382 of the family's 1533-position model. Lineage: Bacteria; Pseudomonadati; Spirochaetota; Spirochaetia; Spirochaetales; Spirochaetaceae. The record is from RNAcentral.